Molecule: long non-coding RNA, 3002 nt
Organism: Pseudophryne corroboree (corroboree frog)
Lineage: Eukaryota; Metazoa; Chordata; Amphibia; Anura; Myobatrachidae
Exons: 2
Source: RefSeq, a predicted model, not a curated record
CAUGCCUCACGAAAGAGGGGCAGGGUCUUGACAGGAGGCUGCUGUCUCGUAACUAUUUACGUGGCUCCGCCCCCUUGCCCGUCCGAAGUCCCGCCCCCUUGCCCGUCCGAAGCCCCGCCCCUUGCAACACAAAGCGGUCACGAGUGGACACAGGCUGACCAGUUUGGGGUGGGGGUGAAUGGGCAGCCGGAGGAAUCAUGUUUUCAAUAGCUUACAAUGAAGCAGAGAAUUCAUGUUUACUAUUGUUGUGGGAAUACGUCACCGGAAGUGACGUUACGCUCCUCCUGAAGUACGAUGUUCCGGGGUGCCCUUAAGAGAAAGUACGGGGCGUUAUCUCCACAAGGGAGAGACAUAAGAGGGAAUACUUUUGGCAGCUGUCAGUGUUGCUAUUGGAAAUUACAACCACCGCCGGCCAGAGCUCGGACCUCCUGAAACCGGAAUUACUAGAGAUGACCAGUGUACGGCCGUUGCUGUGGUUCCCCAUACACAAAUCGGACAUAUCAGGAAGUGCUAAAGAGAUGACAGGCACGGAGACGCCGCUUCGUCUCAGCUUCUGGGUGACACUGUUCACUUCUGAGCUGACUGCUCCUGCUGCACCUACCCCUCUAUGAGCUCCCUAAGCACCCACUUUCUUUUAUGGCAAUGGGACAACUCUAGAUUCUCUAUUGGAACCGAACCCGGGAUAGGAGUUUGGUGGGCGCCUUGCUGUGUUGUGGACGGCCAGAGUGAUUGCACCUAUCCAAACCCCUACCAUUAUCACAUGUCUUCUGGUAGAAUUUACACUCAGCCCCUUUACUUUGAGGAUAGCCUACAGGAAUUGCCGGCCAUAUCAGAUGCUUACUACCGGAGGCUAGGAGAGCGACUCAAAGUAACCAGUGACUGCAGCAAUUUGGAAAUUGGGGUGUGCGGAGGACUGCUGGACAGCUGCGGAGCCUGUUUGCUGACCUCCUAGCUUCACUGGAUGCUAUCUACUGUCCCUGGGUGAACAAAACCAUUAUACAGGACCAGGACUGAUCUACAGCUGCGGCAUCCCAGAGGUGGGAAUUGACGGAGGACAAAGCCACCUACUGCAAGACUGUGACUGAAGGUGAUGAGAUUGCCUGGAACGGGAGUAGAUCCCAGACUUUGAACUAUCAUCUCCCAUUAUUGGUGGCACCCCUAAAGGACUUGUGAGAAUCUUAUACCAUUAAACGGUUAUCUUUCUUUGUCUGUUUUCCCCCAUUAACAAUUUAUUUUUCCUCCCUCCCUAUUGUCUCUCUCCAAUACCCAUCCCUCCUGUCCCUCCUUAUACGUGAUUUUCCCUUUCCCUUCCUUGGCUUACUAUAGAGCUCAUACAUUUCUGGAAAAAGUAUUUUAAGACUCAGGAUAGGAGCUCAUUUAUAAAAGGGUAUACUGAACAUAUUGUCUGCUGCUUUCAACUUAUCUGUUGAAGAUCUAAUAAUACUUUAUUCAACUGUACAUCCUAUAUAUGUCAUUUCCCAAUAACUAACCACCACAUCUCUGUUAGAUAGAAAGCUAGAUGGUAUCUGGAUGUCUUUACAAAUCGCAUUGUCACGCCUUGAUUCUUUUACCUCUCCAGUUGCUUGCUCUCAAUACACCCUCACUGAUUGCACUAGCGUACCAAUUACAAUGUUGACUACAACUCAAAAUCCUUCUCAGGUCAUUGCUUCUCUGCCCCCCUUCCCCGUUUUGGCUAACUCGACUACCCCUGAUAUUGGUCUCAAAGUUACCUCUUUUGACCUACCUGAGAAGUAUAGGGAAUUUAAUUUGUCCGACCCCAAAUCAUCUUAUUUUGACCAUAUGCCUGUGCUUAUUGAUGUACCUUUGACCACCUUGAUUACACCUGGUCUUUGUCGUAAAGUUACACUUAUUGACCUAACCAAGACGAUUGGGGAAUCUCAUUUGCCAACACUGACCAAUGAAGACCAAUCUUUUCUAAUCUCUCAUUCUGGUAAUUUGCCCAUACUUUUUAAUAUACAGAAACCCCUAGGGCCAGUUAUGUGUCAGACAAGACCUGUGCUUACUGAUGUAAAAAGCCCCAUGGAAUUCAUUAUGUGGAAGUCAAGCCCCCCUAUUGGCUCAAAUUGUCAUGCGCUCCCUAGACAGGGGGAGGGUUGAUGCAUAAAUCGGCUUGCUUACUUAUCUAUAUCCGACUUCUACCAACAACUGAAGCCUUUCUCUUUAAUGAUUCAACCUAUAAAUAUUUCUCUUGCUUCAUACAUAACUAUUACAUACCACAUGAUACUUAUUAUUAAGUUCAGAUAUGUGUAGCUUUGUGUUAUCUGGUUACAUACAGUAUAUGGUGUUACGUGUAAAGUAUCAUUAUAACUAUUUACCUUUCUUUCUGCUUCUAUUACUGUCAAAUGUUGUAUUUGUAUCUUUGUAAUCUUUACAUACUUUCUCUCAGUAUCCUUAUUCCCCCCCCCCCCCCCCCCUCCUCUGCCCCUAUCAUUACUGAAAUCAUAGUGUUAGCCUUUCCUACUGGUUGGAAAGAGAGAAAAUGGAUGUAAAAAUCUUUGCUUUGAUACCAUACGAUAGACAUUUUCUCACCUCUCAACACUGUAUGUCACAAAAUACUUGUGUAGCCUUACUUAUAUGUUGGUGUUUUUUGUUUAUUGCACUCUAUGAAUAUGGCAUAUCUAUAAUACCUUGUACUAUCUUUUGAUUGACUUUAAAAAAACAUUAUUGAAAAAAAAAGAAAGGUAUUAUAUAUAUUUAUGGGGUGUAGUAUGGUAUGCCGGCGGCCGGGCUCCCGGCGACUAGCUACGCGCGCCACACUAUUGUAUUCUCCCUCCAGGGGGGUCGUGGACCCCCAUGAGGGAGAAAAAGUGUCGGUAUGCCGGCUGUCUGGAUUCCGGCGCCGGUAUACUGUGCGCCGGGAUCUCGACAGUCGGCAUACUGAACACCACCCUAUUUAUGUGCUAUAUUAAACUGUACUUCACUAUAUGCACAUUUUAUUUCUGUUCGAUGUCAUUUCUACGAGUAUAAAAACUCAGGAACUA